GAUGAACGCUAGCGGCAGGCCUAACACAUGCAAGUCGAGGGAGGAGCUUUCGGGCUUCGACCGGCGUACGGGUGCGUAACGCGUAUACAAUCUGCCUUUCACAUAGGGAUAGCCCGAAGAAAUUUGGAUUAAUACCUAAUGGUAUAUAGGAGUGGCAUCACAUUUAUAUUAAAGCUGAGGCGGUGAAAGAUGAGUAUGCGUUCUAUUAGCUAGUUGGAGAGGUAACGGCUCCCCAAGGCGACGAUAGAUAGGGGUUCUGAGAGGGAUAUCCCCCACACUGGUACUGAGAUACGGACCAGACUCCUACGGGAGGAAGCAGUGAGGAAUAUUGGACAAUGGUCGGAAGACUGAUCCAGCCAUGCCGCGUGCAGGAAGACGGCCUUAUGGGUUGUAAACUGCUUUUGCAGGGGAAGAAUAAGGACUACGAGUAGUUUGAUGACGGUACUCUGCGAAUAAGCAUCGGCUAACUCCGUG
Molecule: ribosomal RNA, 474 nt
Filed under: uncultured bacterium
Lineage: Bacteria
Description: partial 16S ribosomal RNA
Rfam family: Bacterial small subunit ribosomal RNA
Source: RNAcentral